GUAGAUGACAUAUGAAGGUGGGUUUUCUUGUUUUCUAGUGACAAAACGACUGGCAAGCGGGUAGAAAUGAGUGAGGGUGGCGGAGAGAGAGUGUUGGAGGUGAUUCAAGAAAGUGGUUAUUGAGAAACAAUCUGGUGAAGGUGGUUUUCUGAAAAGGAGACCUCUUUGGGAGUAUUUGAAGUUGAGCCAGGCCAGCUCAAAAGGUGUGAAAUGGAUAGGCUGCUUUGCCUCAGGCUGCUUUGCCUCAGGUGAGAGCUCGUUCAGUGGUUUGAUGAAGCAUUCUGAAAUGAGAUUGACUAGGUUAGAACUCAUCACCAGAUCU
This 322-nucleotide long non-coding RNA is filed under the name Helianthus annuus (common sunflower). Its description in RNAcentral is "sRNA HanXRQr2_Chr04g0144731". The record is from RNAcentral. Lineage: Eukaryota; Viridiplantae; Streptophyta; Magnoliopsida; Asterales; Asteraceae.